GUCGGUACUAUCGAUUAAAUUAUUUAGUGAGAUCUUCGGAUGCGAUCACAGCAAUGCAUUUCAUAUCUUGCAGAUAUCUCGCAAAAGUUGACCCAACUUCAUUAUUUAAAGAGAGUAAAAGGC
This 123-nucleotide ribosomal RNA is filed under the name Glossina morsitans morsitans. RNAcentral describes it as "eukaryotic small subunit ribosomal RNA". The record is from RNAcentral. Lineage: Eukaryota; Metazoa; Arthropoda; Insecta; Diptera; Glossinidae.